UUUGUUUGCAUAGACGUUCAACUUUGUAACUUCACCUUAGUCUCUGAGGGCCACAGCUUCAUUUACAUGAGGUGAACACAAAGUGGCCAAUGGGAAAUCUCUAGGGGGUAUUUGGACCUGAGAAGAUUCUAUAUCCAGGCCCUUGAGCUGCUGCCGCUGCCGGCUCCCACACUGUGGAGUGUACUUUCACUUUCAAUAAGUCUCUGCUUUUGUUGUAUCAUUCUUUCCUUGCUUUGCUGUGUGUUUUGUCCAAUUCUUUGUUCAAAAUGCCAAGAACCUGGCCAACUUGGAGUCAAGACCCUCUACCGACUCAUUUGUUCUAGAUUCAGAUCAUUCAACAAAACAUGGCAUGAUUUCCACAGUCUCUGACAUUCUGAUUGCAUUGCUUGAGAAAAUUCUCAGUCUGGGAAUCUCCUUAAAAUGCAGCACAGAUGAUGGCUGAAUAGGAACAGCUCCGGUCUGCAGCUCCCAGCGAGAUCAACGCAGAAGGCGGGUGAUUUCUGCAUUUCCAACUGAGGGUGUAACACUGUGACCAACGAAGAGAGUGUUUUCUAUCAGUGACUCGCAGACUUCCCUUUCACUGGAAUCCAGCUUAUUAGCUGCAUGGUUAACUUUGGAGCCAGGAAAACAUCCUGCACAUGACACUGCCAUCAAGCAGAGGAGACAUGUUUCUCGGCUUCCCCUCUCUGGGACUUAAUAGCCUCUGAAGGCUAGCCUUUACUGACUCAUGAAGCUGUGUCUGCCUGGGGUCAGUGGUGGAGACAUUGCGUUAACCCCAGCAAGCGAGCCAUCACCAGAGCUUUGCACAGGGAGACACCACAUAGAAAGGCAGAUGAGGCAACACACACACCAUCCCCAGACAGCCAUGGGUCCCCAGAGACAGGAAAAAUAUGUGUUUUCUUAAAGAAUUAGAAAAGAAAACCUUGCUUUUUCCUGUGUGGCUCAUUGGUAGGAGAUCUCAAAUUCUAACCCUUGUUUUCUCUUUUACCUCUCUGUCUGCUAAAAAGCACUCCUUAGAUCCAGUAUCUAGCAUGGUGAGCCUCCUGGAUGCAGUGCUGCAGUGGCCACUGCUGGGUCAAAAACAAACACUGGGAAAGGAGGAAAAUGAUGUUUUUCUCUCUUUCAAUAAAGCAUUUGAAAUCUCUAG
This 1147-nucleotide long non-coding RNA is filed under the name Homo sapiens (human). Its description in RNAcentral is "long intergenic non-protein coding RNA 2450". Lineage: Eukaryota; Metazoa; Chordata; Mammalia; Primates; Hominidae. The record is from RNAcentral.